This 2904-nucleotide ribosomal RNA is filed under the name human gut metagenome. RNAcentral describes it as "bacterial LSU rRNA". It matches the Rfam family "Bacterial large subunit ribosomal RNA". The record is from RNAcentral.
UUAAGCGACUAAGCGUACACGGUGGAUGCCCUGGCAGUCAGAGGCGAUGAAGGACGUGCUAAUCUGCGAUAAGCGUCGGUAAGGUGAUAUGAACCGUUAUAACCGGCGAUUUCCGAAUGGGGAAACCCAGUGUGUUUCGACACACUAUCAUUAACUGAAUCCAUAGGUUAAUGAGGCGAACCGGGGGAACUGAAACAUCUAAGUACCCCGAGGAAAAGAAAUCAACCGAGAUUCCCCCAGUAGCGGCGAGCGAACGGGGAGCAGCCCAGAGCCUGAAUCAGUGUGUGUGUUAGUGGAAGCGUCUGGAAAGGCGCGCGAUACAGGGUGACAGCCCCGUACACAAAAAUGCACAUGCUGUGAGCUCGAUGAGUAGGGCGGGACACGUGGUAUCCUGUCUGAAUAUGGGGGGACCAUCCUCCAAGGCUAAAUACUCCUGACUGACCGAUAGUGAACCAGUACCGUGAGGGAAAGGCGAAAAGAACCCCGGCGAGGGGAGUGAAAAAGAACCUGAAACCGUGUACGUACAAGCAGUGGGAGCACGCUUAGGCGUGUGACUGCGUACCUUUUGUAUAAUGGGUCAGCGACUUAUAUUCUGUAGCAAGGUUAACCGAAUAGGGGAGCCGAAGGGAAACCGAGUCUUAACUGGGCGUUAAGUUGCAGGGUAUAGACCCGAAACCCGGUGAUCUAGCCAUGGGCAGGUUGAAGGUUGGGUAACACUAACUGGAGGACCGAACCGACUAAUGUUGAAAAAUUAGCGGAUGACUUGUGGCUGGGGGUGAAAGGCCAAUCAAACCGGGAGAUAGCUGGUUCUCCCCGAAAGCUAUUUAGGUAGCGCCUCGUGAAUUCAUCUCCGGGGGUAGAGCACUGUUUCGGCAAGGGGGUCAUCCCGACUUACCAACCCGAUGCAAACUGCGAAUACCGGAGAAUGUUAUCACGGGAGACACACGGCGGGUGCUAACGUCCGUCGUGAAGAGGGAAACAACCCAGACCGCCAGCUAAGGUCCCAAAGUCAUGGUUAAGUGGGAAACGAUGUGGGAAGGCCCAGACAGCCAGGAUGUUGGCUUAGAAGCAGCCAUCAUUUAAAGAAAGCGUAAUAGCUCACUGGUCGAGUCGGCCUGCGCGGAAGAUGUAACGGGGCUAAACCAUGCACCGAAGCUGCGGCAGCGACGCUUAUGCGUUGUUGGGUAGGGGAGCGUUCUGUAAGCCUGUGAAGGUGUGCUGUGAGGCAUGCUGGAGGUAUCAGAAGUGCGAAUGCUGACAUAAGUAACGAUAAAGCGGGUGAAAAGCCCGCUCGCCGGAAGACCAAGGGUUCCUGUCCAACGUUAAUCGGGGCAGGGUGAGUCGACCCCUAAGGCGAGGCCGAAAGGCGUAGUCGAUGGGAAACAGGUUAAUAUUCCUGUACUUGGUGUUACUGCGAAGGGGGGACGGAGAAGGCUAUGUUGGCCGGGCGACGGUUGUCCCGGUUUAAGCGUGUAGGCUGGUUUUCCAGGCAAAUCCGGAAAAUCAAGGCUGAGGCGUGAUGACGAGGCACUACGGUGCUGAAGCAACAAAUGCCCUGCUUCCAGGAAAAGCCUCUAAGCAUCAGGUAACAUCAAAUCGUACCCCAAACCGACACAGGUGGUCAGGUAGAGAAUACCAAGGCGCUUGAGAGAACUCGGGUGAAGGAACUAGGCAAAAUGGUGCCGUAACUUCGGGAGAAGGCACGCUGAUAUGUAGGUGAAGUCCCUCGCGGAUGGAGCUGAAAUCAGUCGAAGAUACCAGCUGGCUGCAACUGUUUAUUAAAAACACAGCACUGUGCAAACACGAAAGUGGACGUAUACGGUGUGACGCCUGCCCGGUGCCGGAAGGUUAAUUGAUGGGGUUAGCGGUAACGCGAAGCUCUUGAUCGAAGCCCCGGUAAACGGCGGCCGUAACUAUAACGGUCCUAAGGUAGCGAAAUUCCUUGUCGGGUAAGUUCCGACCUGCACGAAUGGCGUAAUGAUGGCCAGGCUGUCUCCACCCGAGACUCAGUGAAAUUGAACUCGCUGUGAAGAUGCAGUGUACCCGCGGCAAGACGGAAAGACCCCGUGAACCUUUACUAUAGCUUGACACUGAACAUUGAGCCUUGAUGUGUAGGAUAGGUGGGAGGCUUUGAAGUGUGGACGCCAGUCUGCAUGGAGCCGACCUUGAAAUACCACCCUUUAAUGUUUGAUGUUCUAACGUGGACCCGUGAUCCGGGUUGCGGACAGUGUCUGGUGGGUAGUUUGACUGGGGCGGUCUCCUCCUAAAGAGUAACGGAGGAGCACGAAGGUUGGCUAAUCCUGGUCGGACAUCAGGAGGUUAGUGCAAUGGCAUAAGCCAGCUUGACUGCGAGCGUGACGGCGCGAGCAGGUGCGAAAGCAGGUCAUAGUGAUCCGGUGGUUCUGAAUGGAAGGGCCAUCGCUCAACGGAUAAAAGGUACUCCGGGGAUAACAGGCUGAUACCGCCCAAGAGUUCAUAUCGACGGCGGUGUUUGGCACCUCGAUGUCGGCUCAUCACAUCCUGGGGCUGAAGUAGGUCCCAAGGGUAUGGCUGUUCGCCAUUUAAAGUGGUACGCGAGCUGGGUUUAGAACGUCGUGAGACAGUUCGGUCCCUAUCUGCCGUGGGCGCUGGAGAACUGAGGGGGGCUGCUCCUAGUACGAGAGGACCGGAGUGGACGCAUCACUGGUGUUCGGGUUGUCAUGCCAAUGGCACUGCCCGGUAGCUAAAUGCGGAAGAGAUAAGUGCUGAAAGCAUCUAAGCACGAAACUUGCCCCGAGAUGAGUUCUCCCUGACUCCUUGAGAGUCCUGAAGGAACGUUGAAGACGACGACGUUGAUAGGCCGGGUGUGUAAGCGCAGCGAUGCGUUGAGCUAACCGGUACUAAUGAACCGUGAGGCUUAACCUU